RNAcentral lists this ribosomal RNA (207 nucleotides) under uncultured bacterium. RNAcentral's name for it is "partial 16S ribosomal RNA". It matches the Rfam family "Bacterial small subunit ribosomal RNA", at positions 568 to 774 of the family's 1533-position model. The record is from RNAcentral.
AGCGUAGGCGGACUUUUAAGUGAGAUGUGAAAUACCCAGGCUCAACCUGGGGGCGUGCAUUUCAAACUGGAAGUCUAGAGUGCAGGAGAGGAGAGUGGAAUUCCUAGUGUAGCGGUGAAAUGCGUAGAGAUUAGGAAGAACACCAGUGGCGAAGGCGACUCUCUGGACUGUAACUGACGCUGAGGCUCGAAAGCGUGGGAGCAAACA